GUGCGGAGCGCGCGCGCGCGCGGCUCGGAGGCGCACCUGUGAGGUGUCCCUAAGGAGAGGGAGGGCGCCCUGCGUCCGGCAGAGGAGGCGAGCAUCCCGCUCAGGUGAUGAGGAACUCCUCGCGUAACCAGUGCAGAAGGCUGCUGCCGCCGGACGCCUCCAUUGUUUGACCACAACAAGGGCCGGAUUCUCACCCAGGAUCCUAAGGCCUUUGUAGUCCUUCAGCCACUGUGGGCCCUGCCUCUGCCUGUUCUUCUGGAAUGUCUUGGGGGUUUUGAUCCUGUCACUGUGGUGACUGACCUAUUUAGAAGCGGGGGCAAGUGGACCCUGGCACAAGGGCAAAUGUUCUCUCUUCUCUGUCUCUUUCUGGCUGCAUUCUUUCCUGUGCUGAUUUGGGUAACCUCGGCCAGUCUUUAUCAUGAGUGACCUGCAAAUCCAAGAGACACAUUUCUGGAAGAUAAGAGAGCUUCUUCAAGACCAAAAAAGGAGACGGCAUGAUACCCACGUAGGGAAUUCCCCAAAGCAAGGCUUGCCAAACCUGGACCCGAGGAGCCUGCUUGCUGGAAAGGCUUUCCUGUCUGAUGUGCAGG
RNAcentral lists this small RNA (590 nucleotides) under Pongo abelii (Sumatran orangutan). RNAcentral describes it as "processed transcript". The record is from RNAcentral. Lineage: Eukaryota; Metazoa; Chordata; Mammalia; Primates; Hominidae.